UCUAAUAUGACAGAAUAGUGUAAUGGCCUUAAACCCCAUAAAUAAGAAAAAAAAAUUUAGUUUCUUUUUUAGAA
RNAcentral lists this transfer RNA (74 nucleotides) under Pselaphinae sp. 6 EF-2015. RNAcentral's name for it is "tRNA-Leu". The record is from RNAcentral. Lineage: Eukaryota; Metazoa; Arthropoda; Insecta; Coleoptera; Staphylinidae.